Molecule: long non-coding RNA, 516 nt
Organism: Canis lupus familiaris (dog)
Lineage: Eukaryota; Metazoa; Chordata; Mammalia; Carnivora; Canidae
Exons: 3
Source: RefSeq, a predicted model, not a curated record
CCAGGGACAAAAGCAGGACUUGGUGGCCAGGGACUUGUGACCAGCAAGGAGGUGGAGCUCUGCACUAGGUCCAGAAGCCUGCCGCACGCGGAGCCUGGUAACUCACUUCGCACACGGAAGAGCAGGGCACCCAGAGAGCGAGAGCUGCAUGAACUGGGGUGUCGUGCUCCCCAGGAGAACCACUCCUCAGCGGGGUCCUGGGCCCGUCCACACCUGUACCCACUUCCACCAACUGUCUCCCCAGCCCGUGUCUGCUGCCAACGUUUCCAGAGACUCCGGGCCUCUGUGUCUCGGCCACCUCUGGGCUGGGAUGUGGGGUGUCCAGUACUGACCCUUCUGAGACCUGGGGGAGCGAUGAGACCGGGGAUCUAACAGGUGUGACCCCAGGACGCACACAGCUCACCUGCUGGACCCCAGGCCAGAGGGCUUCCUUCUUCUCCUCUCAGAGUCAUGAACCUCUCCUGGGUCAUUCUGGGUAAGGAAUGUAAUCCAGGGGUUAAUCAGCGGAGGCAGGAG